CCCUGACCUCCCUUGCAGGACAAGUGACAGAGGGAUGCAGAAAAUGGCUGAACCUGAGGAGACACCUGGUGGAGAAUAAAAGCAUUCUUCUCUCUGGGUCUGGUCAGCUGAUCGCAAUUGGGUUUAGCCAGGGUGGCUGUGCUCCAUGUCCUUCUCAUCCUUCUCCUGGGACCCAUAAGUCAGCCUGGGCACGUCCUCCUGAUGGUGGGGGUGGAGGGUCAAGGACAUAAAUGGAAGCAUGCAAGUUGCUUUGAGGCUGGAACUCAGAAUGAUUGCUUCCCUCUUUUUCUGACGGCCAAUGCAAGUGAUAAAGCCAGCGUCCCAGUCAAGGAGUGGGGUAAUAUUCCCCACUCCUUAUGUGACAAAUGAAAGUCCCAUGGUAAAGAGGAUGGAUAGAGAAGAGUGAGAAACUUAGCCAGACAUGCCAUCUACCACAGGUAAUUCUCUUACAUUCCUAGACAUAUUUUCCUCAUUUCUAGAACAGGAAAAUAAUCCAUUUUUCAAAAGAAGACAUACAAAUGGCCAACAGGCAUGUACAAAAAUUUUCAACAUCACUAGUCAUCAGCAAAAUACAAA
This 576-nucleotide long non-coding RNA is filed under the name Homo sapiens (human). Its description in RNAcentral is "HSALNT0135344". The record is from RNAcentral. Lineage: Eukaryota; Metazoa; Chordata; Mammalia; Primates; Hominidae.